UACGUAGGCGGAAAAUUAAGUCAGUAGUGAAAUCCUGCAGCUUAACUGUAGAACUGUUAUUGAUACUGGUUUUCUUGAAUAUAGUUGAGGUAGGCGGAAUGUGUAAUGUAGCGGUGAAAUGCUUAGAUAUUACACAGAACACCGAUUGCGACGGCAGCUUACUAAGCUAUGAUUGACGCUGAGGUACGAAAGCGUGGGGAGCGAACAGGAUUAGAUACCCUGGUAGUCC
This 229-nucleotide ribosomal RNA is filed under the name uncultured bacterium. Its description in RNAcentral is "partial 16S ribosomal RNA". It matches the Rfam family "Bacterial small subunit ribosomal RNA", at positions 568 to 796 of the family's 1533-position model. The record is from RNAcentral.